UUAAAAAAAUAUCCCAGCUGAGAGGGAGAAGCCCAAGGGAGCAACCUCUGCUCCUCUGGUAGAGCCCAGGAAGAGCAACAGCAGGAGGGAGAAAGAACACAUUUUGCAUCUGGGUCUGAUGGGUUGACAGGGAUAUUAGAAUAAAUAAUUCAGAGCCAGCUCCAGCCCUCUCAGAAAGCAAAGGGGCUCUCUGGGGCCCAAAGAAGCCCCUGCUAUUGUAAGCCAGGCCCAAAGAGGAUGUGAAGACUCGUGGGCAGGACCAGGCUAACAGGUCAAACAGAGAUCAGGCUACUCUGCCUUUCAGAAAGGCAAGUGGAGUUUGCUAGGGCUGCCACAACAAAGAACCACAAACUGGGUGUCUUAAACAACAGAAAUUUAUUGUCUAAAAGUUCUGGGGUCUGACAUGAAGGUUCUCCAGGGCUGUUCCUUCUAAGGACAAUGAGGGAAACUACUCUGUGCUUCUCUCGUAGCUUCUGGUGGUUUGCUGGCAAUCACUGGGAUACUUUGGCUUCUGCUGCGGCAAUCUGACCUCUACAUAACCUUCACAUGACCUUGUCUCUUUGUGCCUAUCUCUGAGUUUGAAUUUCUCUUUUUAUGAUAUCUUUUUACAAAGACACCAAUUGUAUUAGAUUAGGGCCUACCCUAAUGGCAUUCUCUUAACUUAAUACCUCUGAGAAUAACCUAUCUCCAAAUAUGGCCCAAAUAAUUCUCCAAACUCUCCAAAUAAUUCAACCCAUAAUGGUGGGUGAGCUUACCAGCAAGGAAACCGGCUAGAGUUCUCCCUGUAGUUGAAGAACCAAUUUCAUUUUCAGCUAAACAAACAGGUUAUCACUGAAGAGGAGAAUCUUCAUUAGCAUCUGCAUACCUGAGAGAAGGAUGUUUUCAAGAUUCAGAGAAGAACUGAAGUAAAGAAUGAAUGAAAAACUUUUUCUUCCAGAGGAGCUAUUGGCAUAGUGGAGAGAGCGAUGUGCCACCAGUGCAAAGGAGAGACAAUAGGACUGCGCCAUCAUGGAGAUCACGAACCACCUUGCAAGACAGAAAAGAAAGUGUCCUUUCCAAUGUGAUCAGUCUUAAAAACUAUCCUCAGGUGAAUAUUCAAAUAUUCUGUUGAUUCCAUUGAGGAACAAAUAAUAACCUUUCUCCAAGGUGAGACAAUUUCUAAACUUUGAUUUUUCAACUUCAGAUGAAACUUGAACCUUGAAACUUGAAAGGUUGUCAUUCUUUCUCUAGGGACAGGAAAUGAGGUGAAGAAGUUUUAAAAAUAUUUUUUACAAAAAAAUUUUAGACAUCAGAAAUAUUUUUUUAAACAAUAUUUUGAUGACUUAAAUGCAAGUGAAUUAGAAGCUUCAGUUUGAAAAAUUUUUCAAUUUCAAAAACUAAAUAUAAAAUAUAAUUUGGAAUAUGGGAGAAAAGAUAAUAUAGGUUAGAGUAGACAGAAAUGAUUCAGAUAUAACUUGCAUUUGUGUAUUUUGUAUUUUUCCAUGUGUUGUCCUUUUAUUUUUCAGGCAUCAUUAUUUGCUUUUUUUCUUCAAUUUACAAUGAAGUACUUUGUGGCCAGCUGCGUUAGCUCAAGCCAGUAAUCCCAGUACUUUGGGAGGCUGAGGCAGGCAGAUUGCCUGAGGUUAGAAGUUUGACAGUAGCCUGGCCACCAUGGUGAAACCCUGUCUCUACUAAAAAUGCAAAAAUUAGCCGGGCAUGGUGGCAUGUGCCUGUAAUCCCAACUACUUGGGGGGCUGAGGCAGGAGAAUCAUUGAACACAGGAGGUGGAGGUUGCAGUGAGCCGGGAUCACACCACUGAUAUCCUGUCUGGGUGACAGAGUAAGAUCCCAUCUCAAAAACUAAAAACUAAAAAAUAAAAUAAAAUACAUCUUGUUUGGUGUGUGUAUUAUAUUGUAUGUAUGUAUGCAUGCAUGCAUUUAUGCAUAUUUUUAAGAUGAAAUUAUCAAUCACUUUGAAAAAUUUUAAUUAUUUCCUUUCUGCAUUUGGACACUGUACAAAUAUUACAGAGUGAAUUCACAAUAAGCAUCUUUGCUUUCAAGAGUCAAAAGACUGAAAACACGCAAAAUUCACAGAAACAAAAUACAAUAUAAAAUAAGUAAAAAAGAAAUUCUAAACAUAUUCCAUCUUCUUCUCUGGUCUGCACAUCAAAGACUAUUCAGCAGAGAAGUUUCUUGAGAGGAGAAGUAUGUUUACUCAGUUUUUGCAUCACUGGCCCCUAGCAGAGUGCUUGGAAUGAGUAGGCCCUCAGAAAGUAUUUCUUAAGU
This 2264-nucleotide long non-coding RNA is filed under the name Callithrix jacchus (white-tufted-ear marmoset). Its description in RNAcentral is "lncRNA (ENSCJAG00000070272.1)". The record is from RNAcentral. Lineage: Eukaryota; Metazoa; Chordata; Mammalia; Primates; Cebidae.